Molecule: long non-coding RNA, 1444 nt
Organism: Lutra lutra (Eurasian river otter)
Lineage: Eukaryota; Metazoa; Chordata; Mammalia; Carnivora; Mustelidae
Exons: 3
Source: RefSeq, a predicted model, not a curated record
GUCACCGUUUACGGCAGCUGUGUUUCCAGAAGCCAUGACAGUCCCUUGGAUACAGGAGAUCUUCAAUCACUGCAUGUCCAGCCGAAUUCAACCAGCCACGUGUUCUUUAUGGCCUUAAAACAGAGAACCCAGGAGAGCCCUGACUCCAGGGAAAGCAAGGAAAAGCAAGCGCAGACCCUCUCUCCACCUUGCCCAUAGUUCCUGCUACAGUUCUCUGCUUGGAGUGGAGAAGAAAACAAAGGCCCAGACUGGCAAAGUGACAUGUGCAAGAUCACAGCACCGGUUGAGGGGAGCAAGAUUCUAAUCCUGAUCUGCUGGGCUCUGAGGGGAGGGCUCAGCCUAGAGGCAGUCCAAGCUGAGAAUGGUGGGAGAAUUCCAGCCUUGGGCCAGCUGCCCACGCAUCCAGGGAGGCGGUAGGCGGGGCGGAAACAGCCACCAGAAGCCAGGGGCACGCGGCAAACAAGGGUGCCAGGAAAUGACCUGGACCUGGGGUCCUUCCUCCCGGCCCGCCCUGUGCCCCUGGCCAACGGCUGCCUCCCAUUCCUGGUGCUCUCUGUAAGAGAACAGAGAAAGCUGGGCCAGAGGCCAGGGAUGGCCAGGAGGGUCUUGAAGCCCCGGAGGGGAGCCCUACCAGACCUUAGCCACCAUCACACCCCCACCCCCUGCUGCCACCGGGUCCCAGGAGGAGACACAGAGCAGGAUCCUCGAGGUCUUGUGUUGUCUGCCUCAGCGGGAGCUCAGACUGGGGCGGGGCGCAAAUAAGGCACUCGGAAAGAUGUGUGUUGAAAGGAAGGACGGCAAGUGUGGCGUCAAAACCAUCAGGAUGGAGGUGAAGAGACUUGGUCCUGACCCAGUUCCUGCCCCCACCCCCCCACCCCUGCCUCGUGGCCCUGGACGAGUCUCAGAACCUCCCUAUCCAUCAGAUCAAGUCGUUAUCCUGGAAUGCCCAUCACAGCUUGGGUCCCUUCCAACUCUGACAAUGCAGGUCUAUUAAUUCUUCGACUCGCGCACGAACUUGUUAUUUCAGCGAAAUACAUAGUACAGUUCAGUAAGUAUAUUUGGGAACUAAUGAAGUGGUGAGCAGAGCGGCGGUAAUAAGCAAAGGCUGUUGGGGGGGCGGUGAUUUGUUAAAAGCAAGGUGGCCUGGGUUCAAAUUCUCCCUCCGUCACCUGCUGACUGAGUAACCUCGGGCAAGUCCCUUACUCCUGUUGAACUUCAACUUCCUUAUCUGUAAGAGGGAGAUAAUAGGAGUAUAUACUCCAUGGGGUUAUUGUAAAAAUUAAAUGAGAUAAUGUGAAUAAAGAAAAAUGGUACAUAGCAGGUGCCCAGCAAAUGUUAGCUAUAUUAUUCCUUAGAGAUGCAUGAAUUUCAGCAGGCAAAGAUGGUGGCGUGUGUAUGGGCAGGGCUUAUGGUGGGGUGGGGGGGGACGCAUGGGAACAGUGUG